CUCGACACUUAUGAGAGGUCCAGCCUGCCCAGUGACCAAGUUCAACGGCCGCGGUAUCCUAACCGUGCGAAGGUAGCGUAAUCACUUGUUCUUUAAAUGAGGACUAGUAUGAAUGGCACCACGAGGGCUAUACUGUCUCCUUUUUUUAAUCAAUGAAACUGAUCUCCCCGUGAAGAAGCGGGCAUAAACCUAUAAGACGAGAAGACCCUAUGGAGCUUCAAACAACGAUAGCACUGGCCCCCAUUUUUUAUCCUCGAGAGAUACCACCAUUAUACUGGCCAAGAUGCCUAUCAGUUUUAGGUUGGGGUGACCGCGGAGCAAAAACCAACCUCCACGUUGAACGGAACUACUCCUGAGCCAAAAGCUACAACUUUAAGCACCAACAAACUGACAUUAAUUGACCCAACAUGUUGAUCAACGAAC
Molecule: ribosomal RNA, 423 nt
Filed under: Dendropsophus gaucheri
Lineage: Eukaryota; Metazoa; Chordata; Amphibia; Anura; Hylidae
Description: partial 16S ribosomal RNA
Rfam family: Bacterial large subunit ribosomal RNA
Source: RNAcentral